GGACUCUGGUUAAUUCUGGAAAGAGGAGUAUAAACCACUAUUGUAUGCCUCCCAAAUCAUGCCACUGCCUCCAGAGAGCUAAGCAAUGUCACUCUCCCUAAGUUCAAAGAUCUUGAAAGAAAAGUCGGUGAAGAAGGAAAAUACCCAGGAUAGCAUGUGAGGACCGUGCCUGGUUCUUGGCCUUUGAUCUGAAGAUUUGGCAGGUAUCUGUUCUAUAUUUCAAAUCUGCAAGCCAGCAGGGAGAGACUUGCUCCACAGAUGGCCAACGGAACAGAUGAAAUGUCACCCAUUUUCUCAGAUCCACUCCUCCUGCAUCCUCCUCAUGGACUAACCUUCGCCAUGGAUUCACUAAGCGCCUGCACGACGUAAGACUCACUGUAUGGUAUUAAUUCAGAGUGAUAUUCCCCUUGAGGUGAUCUAAACCCUGAAUUCUCACCUGCCUUUUAAAGAGGCAUUUAGAAUUAAAUUAGUUAUAUGGCUGUUUCUAAAACACAUGCCCAUACUUAUACCCUCUUCCUUAUUUAAAAAUAAACGUAUGAGGAAAAUUACCA
Molecule: long non-coding RNA, 551 nt
Filed under: Mus spicilegus (steppe mouse)
Lineage: Eukaryota; Metazoa; Chordata; Mammalia; Rodentia; Muridae
Description: lncRNA (ENSMSIG00000018298.1)
Source: RNAcentral